CCUACGGGUGGCAGCAGUGGGGGAUAUUGCACAAUGGGGGGAACCCUGAUGCAGCGACGCCGCGUGGGUGAAGAAGGGCCUCGGAGCGUAAAGCCCUGUCAGCAGGGAAGAAAAUGACGGUACCUGAAGAAGAAGCAACGGCUAACUACGUGCCAGCAGCCGCGGUAAGACGUAGGGGGCAAGCGUUAGCCGGAUGUACUGGGGGUAAAGGGGGCGCAGCCGGGCGUGCAAGCCAGGAGUGAAAGCCCGGGGCCCAACCCCGGGACUGCUCGUGGAACUGCGGGGCUGGAGUGCAGGAGGGGCAGGCGGAAUUCCUGGUGUAGCGGUGACAUGCUUAGAUAUCAGGAGGACCCCCGGUGGCGCAGGCGGCCUGCUGGACUGCAUCUGACGUUGAGGCCCGAAAGCGUGGGGAGCAAACAGGAUUAGAUACCCCAGUAGUC
This 440-nucleotide ribosomal RNA is filed under the name uncultured bacterium. RNAcentral's name for it is "partial 16S ribosomal RNA". It matches the Rfam family "Bacterial small subunit ribosomal RNA", at positions 338 to 795 of the family's 1533-position model. The record is from RNAcentral.